This 2904-nucleotide ribosomal RNA is filed under the name Escherichia coli. RNAcentral describes it as "23S ribosomal RNA". It matches the Rfam family "Bacterial large subunit ribosomal RNA". The record is from RNAcentral. Lineage: Bacteria; Pseudomonadati; Pseudomonadota; Gammaproteobacteria; Enterobacterales; Enterobacteriaceae.
UUAAGCGACUAAGCGUACACGGUGGAUGCCCUGGCAGUCAGAGGCGAUGAAGGACGUGCUAAUCUGCGAUAAGCGUCGGUAAGGUGAUAUGAACCGUUAUAACCGGCGAUUUCCGAAUGGGGAAACCCAGUGUGUUUCGACACACUAUCAUUAACUGAAUCCAUAGGUUAAUGAGGCGAACCGGGGGAACUGAAACAUCUAAGUACCCCGAGGAAAAGAAAUCAACCGAGAUUCCCCCAGUAGCGGCGAGCGAACGGGGAGGAGCCCAGAGCCUGAAUCAGUGUGUGUGUUAGUGGAAGCGUCUGGAAAGGCGCGCGAUACAGGGUGACAGCCCCGUACACAAAAAUGCACAUGCUGUGAGCUCGAUGAGUAGGGCGGGACACGUGGUAUCCUGUCUGAAUAUGGGGGGACCAUCCUCCAAGGCUAAAUACUCCUGACUGACCGAUAGUGAACCAGUACCGUGAGGGAAAGGCGAAAAGAACCCCGGCGAGGGGAGUGAAAAAGAACCUGAAACCGUGUACGUACAAGCAGUGGGAGCACGCUUCGGCGUGUGACUGCGUACCUUUUGUAUAAUGGGUCAGCGACUUAUAUUCUGUAGCAAGGUUAACCGAAUAGGGGAGCCGAAGGGAAACCGAGUCUUAACUGGGCGUUAAGUUGCAGGGUAUAGACCCGAAACCCGGUGAUCUAGCCAUGGGCAGGUUGAAGGUUGGGUAACACUAACUGGAGGACCGAACCGACUAAUGUUGAAAAAUUAGCGGAUGACUUGUGGCUGGGGGUGAAAGGCCAAUCAAACCGGGAGAUAGCUGGUUCUCCCCGAAAGCUAUUUAGGUAGCGCCUCGUGAAUUCAUCUCCGGGGGUAGAGCACUGUUUCGGCAAGGGGGUCAUCCCGACUUACCAACCCGAUGCAAACUGCGAAUACCGGAGAAUGUUAUCACGGGAGACACACGGCGGGUGCUAACGUCCGUCGUGAAGAGGGAAACAACCCAGACCGCCAGCUAAGGUCCCAAAGUCAUGGUUAAGUGGGAAACGAUGUGGGAAGGCCCAGACAGCCAGGAUGUUGGCUUAGAAGCAGCCAUCAUUUAAAGAAAGCGUAAUAGCUCACUGGUCGAGUCGGCCUGCGCGGAAGAUGUAACGGGGCUAAACCAUGCACCGAAGCUGCGGCAGCGACGCUUAUGCGUUGUUGGGUAGGGGAGCGUUCUGUAAGCCUGUGAAGGUGUGCUGUGAGGCAUGCUGGAGGUAUCAGAAGUGCGAAUGCUGACAUAAGUAACGAUAAAGCGGGUGAAAAGCCCGCUCGCCGGAAGACCAAGGGUUCCUGUCCAACGUUAAUCGGGGCAGGGUGAGUCGACCCCUAAGGCGAGGCCGAAAGGCGUAGUCGAUGGGAAACAGGUUAAUAUUCCUGUACUUGGUGUUACUGCGAAGGGGGGACGGAGAAGGCUAUGUUGGCCGGGCGACGGUUGUCCCGGUUUAAGCGUGUAGGCUGGUUUUCCAGGCAAAUCCGGAAAAUCAAGGCUGAGGCGUGAUGACGAGGCACUACGGUGCUGAAGCAACAAAUGCCCUGCUUCCAGGAAAAGCCUCUAAGCAUCAGGUAACAUCAAAUCGUACCCCAAACCGACACAGGUGGUCAGGUAGAGAAUACCAAGGCGCUUGAGAGAACUCGGGUGAAGGAACUAGGCAAAAUGGUGCCGUAACUUCGGGAGAAGGCACGCUGAUAUGUAGGUGAGGUCCCUCGCGGAUGGAGCUGAAAUCAGUCGAAGAUACCAGCUGGCUGCAACUGUUUAUUAAAAACACAGCACUGUGCAAACACGAAAGUGGACGUAUACGGUGUGACGCCUGCCCGGUGCCGGAAGGUUAAUUGAUGGGGUUAGCCGCAAGGCGAAGCUCUUGAUCGAAGCCCCGGUAAACGGCGGCCGUAACUAUAACGGUCCUAAGGUAGCGAAAUUCCUUGUCGGGUAAGUUCCGACCUGCACGAAUGGCGUAAUGAUGGCCAGGCUGUCUCCACCCGAGACUCAGUGAAAUUGAACUCGCUGUGAAGAUGCAGUGUACCCGCGGCAAGACGGAAAGACCCCGUGAACCUUUACUAUAGCUUGACACUGAACAUUGAGCCUUGAUGUGUAGGAUAGGUGGGAGGCUUUGAAGUGUGGACGCCAGUCUGCAUGGAGCCGACCUUGAAAUACCACCCUUUAAUGUUUGAUGUUCUAACGUUGACCCGUAAUCCGGGUUGCGGACAGUGUCUGGUGGGUAGUUUGACUGGGGCGGUCUCCUCCUAAAGAGUAACGGAGGAGCACGAAGGUUGGCUAAUCCUGGUCGGACAUCAGGAGGUUAGUGCAAUGGCAUAAGCCAGCUUGACUGCGAGCGUGACGGCGCGAGCAGGUGCGAAAGCAGGUCAUAGUGAUCCGGUGGUUCUGAAUGGAAGGGCCAUCGCUCAACGGAUAAAAGGUACUCCGGGGAUAACAGGCUGAUACCGCCCAAGAGUUCAUAUCGACGGCGGUGUUUGGCACCUCGAUGUCGGCUCAUCACAUCCUGGGGCUGAAGUAGGUCCCAAGGGUAUGGCUGUUCGCCAUUUAAAGUGGUACGCGAGCUGGGUUUAGAACGUCGUGAGACAGUUCGGUCCCUAUCUGCCGUGGGCGCUGGAGAACUGAGGGGGGCUGCUCCUAGUACGAGAGGACCGGAGUGGACGCAUCACUGGUGUUCGGGUUGUCAUGCCAAUGGCACUGCCCGGUAGCUAAAUGCGGAAGAGAUAAGUGCUGAAAGCAUCUAAGCACGAAACUUGCCCCGAGAUGAGUUCUCCCUGACUCCUUGAGAGUCCUGAAGGAACGUUGAAGACGACGACGUUGAUAGGCCGGGUGUGUAAGCGCAGCGAUGCGUUGAGCUAACCGGUACUAAUGAACCGUGAGGCUUAACCUU